This 1210-nucleotide ribosomal RNA is filed under the name Janthinobacterium lividum. RNAcentral's name for it is "bacterial SSU rRNA". It matches the Rfam family "Bacterial small subunit ribosomal RNA", at positions 35 to 1247 of the family's 1533-position model. The record is from RNAcentral. Lineage: Bacteria; Pseudomonadati; Pseudomonadota; Betaproteobacteria; Burkholderiales; Oxalobacteraceae.
GCUGGCGGCAUGCCUUACACAUGCAAGUCGAACGGCAGCACGGAGCUUGCUCUGGUGGCGAGUGGCGAACGGGUGAGUAAUAUAUCGGAACGUACCCUGGAGUGGGGGAUAACGUAGCGAAAGUUACGCUAAUACCGCAUACGAUCUACGGAUGAAAGUGGGGGAUCGCAAGACCUCAUGCUCGUGGAGCGGCCGAUAUCUGAUUAGCUAGUUGGUAGGGUAAAAGCCUACCAAGGCAUCGAUCAGUAGCUGGUCUGAGAGGACGACCAGCCACACUGGAACUGAGACACGGUCCAGACUCCUACGGGAGGCAGCAGUGGGGAAUUUUGGACAAUGGGCGAAAGCCUGAUCCAGCAAUGCCGCGUGAGUGAAGAAGGCCUUCGGGUUGUAAAGCUCUUUUGUCAGGGAAGAAACGGUGAGGGCUAAUAUCCUUGCUAAUGACGGUACCUGAAGAAUAAGCACCGGCUAACUACGUGCCAGCAGCCGCGGUAAUACGUAGGGUGCAAGCGUUAAUCGGAAUUACUGGGCGUAAAGCGUGCGCAGGCGGUUUUGUAAGUCUGAUGUGAAAUCCCCGGGCUCAACCUGGGAAUUGCAUUGGAGACUGCAAGGCUAGAAUCUGGCAGAGGGGGGUAGAAUUCCACGUGUAGCAGUGAAAUGCGUAGAUAUGUGGAGGAACACCGAUGGCGAAGGCAGCCCCCUGGGUCAAGAUUGACGCUCAUGCACGAAAGCGUGGGGAGCAAACAGGAUUAGAUACCCUGGUAGUCCACGCCCUAAACGAUGUCUACUAGUUGUCGGGUCUUAAUUGACUUGGUAACGCAGCUAACGCGUGAAGUAGACCGCCUGGGGAGUACGGUCGCAAGAUUAAAACUCAAAGGAAUUGACGGGGACCCGCACAAGCGGUGGAUGAUGUGGAUUAAUUCGAUGCAACGCGAAAAACCUUACCUACCCUUGACAUGGCUGGAAUCCUCGAGAGAUCAGGGAGUGCUCGAAAGAGAACCAGUACACAGGUGCUGCAUGGCUGUCGUCAGCUCCUGUCGUGAGAUGUUGGGUUAAGUCCCGCAACGAGCGCAACCCUUGUCAUUAGUUGCUACGAAAGGGCACUCUAAUGAGACUGCCGGUGACAAACCGGAGGAAGGUGGGGAUGACGUCAAGUCCUCAUGGCCCUUAUGGGUAGGGCUUCACACGUCAUACAAUGGUACAUACAGAGCGC